RNAcentral lists this ribosomal RNA (301 nucleotides) under uncultured bacterium. RNAcentral describes it as "partial 16S ribosomal RNA". It matches the Rfam family "Bacterial small subunit ribosomal RNA", at positions 509 to 807 of the family's 1533-position model. The record is from RNAcentral.
CAGCCGCCGCGGGAAAACAGAGGGUGCGAGCGUUAAUCGGAUUUACUGGGCGUAAAGCGUGCGUAGGCGGCUUCUUAAGUCGGAUGUGAAAUCCCUGAGCUUAACUUAGGAAUUGCAUUCGAUACUGGGAAGCUAGAGUAUGGGAGAGGAUGGUAGAAUUCCAGGUGUAGCGGUGAAAUGCGUAGAGAUCUGGAGGAAUACCGAUGGCGAAGGCAGCCAUCUGGCCUAAUACUGACGCUGAGGUACGAAAGCAUGGGGAGCAAACAGGAUUAGAGACCCCUGUAGUCCCUGUCUCUUAUAC